RNAcentral lists this ribosomal RNA (495 nucleotides) under uncultured bacterium. RNAcentral describes it as "partial 16S ribosomal RNA". It matches the Rfam family "Bacterial small subunit ribosomal RNA", at positions 28 to 523 of the family's 1533-position model. The record is from RNAcentral.
GAUGAACGCUGGCGGCGUGCUUAACACAUGCAAGUCGAACGAAGCACCUUGAUUUGAUUCUUCGGAUGAAGAUCUUGGUGACUGAGUGGCGGACGGGUGAGUAACGCGUGGGUAACCUGCCUCAUACAGGGGGAUAACAGUUAGAAAUGACUGCUAAUACCGCAUAAGACCACAUUACCGCAUGGUACAGGGGUAAAAACUCCGGUGGUAUGAGAUGGACCCGCGGCUGAUUAGGUAGUUGGUGGGGUAACGGCCUACCAAGCCGACGAUCAGUAGCCGACCUGAGAGGGUGACCGGCCACAUUGGGACUGAGACACGGCCCAAACUCCUACGGGAGGCAGCAGUGGGGAAUAUUGCACAAUGGGGGAAACCCUGAUGCAGCGACGCCGCGUGAGCGAUGAAGUAUUUCGGUAUGUAAAGCUCUAUCAGCAGGGAAGAAAAUGACGGUACCUGACUAAGAAGCACCGGCUAAAUACGUGCCAGCCGCCGCCGUAA